Molecule: ribosomal RNA, 533 nt
Filed under: uncultured bacterium
Lineage: Bacteria
Description: bacterial SSU rRNA
Rfam family: Bacterial small subunit ribosomal RNA
Source: RNAcentral
AAUAGAUACCCGGGUAGUCCACGCCGUAAACGUUGGGCGCUAGAUGUGGGGGGCCAUUCCACGGUUUUCCGCGUCGUAGCUAACGCAUUAAGCGCCCCGCCUGGGGAGUACGGCCGCAAGGCUAAAACUCAAAGGAAUUGACGGGGGGCCCGCACAAGCGGCGGAGCAUGCGGAUUAAUUCGAUGCAACGCGAAGAACCUUACCAAGGCUUGACAUAUACGAGAACACUGCAGAAAUGUAGGACUCUUUGGACACUCGUAUACAGGUGGUGCAUGGUUGUCGUCAGCUCGUGUCGUGAGAUGUUGGGUUAAGUCCCGCAACGAGCGCAACCCUCGUCGCAUGUUGCCAGCACGUAAAGGUGGGAACUCAUGUGAGACUGCCGGGGUCAACUCGGAGGAAGGUGGGGAUGACGUCAAAUCAUCAUGCCCCUUAUGUCUUGGGCUUCACGCAUGCUACAAUGGCCGGGUACAAAGGGCUGCAAUACCGUAAGGUGGAGCGAAUCCCAAAAAGCCGGUCUCAGUUCGGAUUGAGGU